RNAcentral lists this ribosomal RNA (254 nucleotides) under uncultured bacterium. RNAcentral's name for it is "partial 16S ribosomal RNA". It matches the Rfam family "Bacterial small subunit ribosomal RNA", at positions 524 to 776 of the family's 1533-position model. The record is from RNAcentral.
UACGUAGGCAGCAAGCGUUGUUCGGAGUUACUGGGCGUAAAGGGUGCGUAGGCGGGUCUUUUAAGUCAGGGGUGAAAUCCUGGAGCUCAACUCCAGAACUGCCUUUGAUACUGAGGAUCUUGAGUUCGGGAGAGGUGAGUGGAACUGCGAGUGUAGAGGUGAAAUUCGUAGAUAUUCGCAAGAACACCAGUGGCGAAGGCGGCUCACUGGCCCGAUACUGACGCUGAGGCACGAAAGCGUGGGGAGCAAACAGG